Molecule: long non-coding RNA, 1361 nt
Organism: Oncorhynchus keta (chum salmon)
Lineage: Eukaryota; Metazoa; Chordata; Actinopteri; Salmoniformes; Salmonidae
Exons: 3
Source: RefSeq, a predicted model, not a curated record
GCUUUGGACAAUUAAUAACAUGACUCUCGUACUUUGCCCUAUUCCUACUUUAUCUGGUGACAACUGCAUGCAUGGCCAUCCUUGUAGAGUUUCCGAGCCUUGUUUUAUAUCUUAUGACACAAUAUUGUAUACUUGUAUAGAGCAGACAAACCCAGUAAUCUGUAAAAGUUUCACCAUGUUACAGGUGGUCCAAAAGCUGUCGAGAUCCCUUCACAGAGAAACUGCCCAACAACAGAAAGCCUGUGUUGAGGCCAUUGCACUGAUGAAGCAUACAGCUGAUGAAGCAGAUGUUCGCCUAUUGCCAAAAGAUGGUUCAUGACCCAGUGAAGUCCUCUGAAAUAUUCACAGCAAUCCAAAGACAUAGCAGGAAUGAUUGAGCAAUAAUUUAGUGAUUCAACCUCUGCAAUGUUCCUGGAGAAGUGGCCUACUCCAAGCAGAAAGUUAUUGACCAAAGCCGUGGCCUCACACAGACAGGCGACCUGCAAGACCUGGUUCAAGAUGCUGAAUCCACAACAGAAGUGGAAAAUCGUAUGCUGGAAUAAAAGAUGGGACAGUGACAUGUCCUCCAUUUUGGUCCCUGUCCACCUUAUACCACCGUCACCUCAUGGCCACAAGAGACCUGGAAAAAUAUCAGCCAGACACACCAGUAACCACAUUGUGAAGUUUAUCAAGGUGAAGUUACAGUUGACUGUUCUCACCCCAUUCCUAAUCUACUUUUAAGAUUAUGGACAAAUUGUAAGAUCAUAUGUAGCUGUAAUUUAAAUUGACAAACUGUUUGCGAACCGUGAUUAAUUUUAAUAGCAAACUAAUGAAGUUCUUGUGUCAGACUGGGACCAGCAUCUGGAGAGCGCCAUGGAAAGCCUUCAACCCGCAAUACAUUGUAACUCUCUUGCCUGUUUUGUCUUUGGUACCUCACAUCUCCCUCACUAGCUUUAAGCACCAGCUGUCAGAGCAGCUUACAGAUCACUGCACAUGUACAUAGCCCAUCUGUAAACAUCCCAUCUACCUACCUCAUCCCCAUACUGGCAUUUAUUUAUUUUGCUCCUUUGCACCCCAGUAUCUCUACCUGCACUUUCAUCUUAUGCCAAUCUACCAUUCCAGUGUUUAAUUGCUAUAUUGUAAUUACUUCGCCACCAUGGCCUAUUUAUUUCCUUAAACUUACCUCAUUUGCACUCACUGUAUAGACUGUUUUCUUUUGUUCUACUGUAUUAUUGACUGUUUUUGUUUAUUCCCAAGUGUAACUCUGUGUUGUAAGUGUCGAAUUGCUACGCUUUAUCUUGGCCAGGUCGCAGUUGCAAAUGAGAACUUGUUCUCAACUAGCCUACCUGGUUAAAUAAAGGUGAAAUAAAAUAAUAAUUUGG